CCCCCUUGCCCUUCAACCACGUGAAGACACAAUGGGAAGAUGACCCUCUGUGGGCCAGGAAGUGGGCCUUCACCAGACACCCAUUCUGCUGGCCCCUACCUUGGACUUCACAGCCCCAGGAUGGUGAGGAGUGAACUUUGUUGUUUGUCAGCCACCCAGUCUAUGGUACUCUGUUAUGGCCGCCCACAUGGACUAAGACAACUGAGUUCUCAUAAGGUGAUAUAUGAUUCCAUGUAAUGUGAAGUGGCAGAAGCUCG
Long non-coding RNA from Phyllostomus discolor (pale spear-nosed bat), 257 nucleotides. RefSeq lists it as uncharacterized. Lineage: Eukaryota; Metazoa; Chordata; Mammalia; Chiroptera; Phyllostomidae. The record is from RefSeq and is a predicted model, not a curated record. The transcript is spliced from 3 exons.